Molecule: ribosomal RNA, 497 nt
Filed under: uncultured bacterium
Lineage: Bacteria
Description: partial 16S ribosomal RNA
Rfam family: Bacterial small subunit ribosomal RNA
Source: RNAcentral
GAUGAACGCUGGCGGCGUGCCUAAUACAUGCAAGUCGAGCGAACGGACGAGAAGCUUGCUUUUCUGAUGUUAGCGGCGGACGGGUGAGUAACACGUGGAUAACCUACCUAUAAGACUGGGAUAACUUCGGGAAACCGGAGCUAAUACCGGAUAAUAUUUUGAACCGCAUGGUUCAAAAGUGAAAGACGGUCUUGCUGUCACUUAUAGAUGGAUCCGCGCUGCAUUAGCUAGUUGGUAAGGUAACGGCUUACCAAGGCAACGAUGCAUAGCCGACCUGAGAGGGUGAUCGGCCACACUGGAACGGGGACACGGUCCAGACUCCUACGGGAGGCAGCAGUAGGGAAUCUGCCGCAAUGGGCGAAAGCCUGACGGAGCAACGCCGCGUGAGUGAUGAAGGUCUUCGGAUCGUAAAACUCUGUUAUUAGGGAAGAACAUAUGUGUAAGUAACUGUGCACAUCUUGACGGUACCUAAUCAGAAAGCCACGGCUAACUACGUG